UACGGAGGGUGCAAGCGUUAAUCGGAAUUACUGGGCGUAAAGCGUGCGCAGGCGGUCGCGUGAGCCAGAUGUGAAAUCCCCGGGCUCAACUUGGGCACUGCAUUUGGUACUGCGUGGCUGGAGUGCGGCUGAGGGAGGUGGAAUUCCUGGUGUAGCAGUGAAAUGCGUAGAGAUCAGGAGGAACACCGAUGGCGAAGGCAGCCUUCUGGGCCAGCACUGACUCUCAUGUUCUAAACAGUGGGGAGCAUACAGG
RNAcentral lists this ribosomal RNA (253 nucleotides) under uncultured bacterium. RNAcentral's name for it is "partial 16S ribosomal RNA". It matches the Rfam family "Bacterial small subunit ribosomal RNA", at positions 524 to 776 of the family's 1533-position model. The record is from RNAcentral.